RNAcentral lists this ribosomal RNA (543 nucleotides) under Triticum aestivum (bread wheat). Its description in RNAcentral is "partial small subunit ribosomal RNA". The stretch from base 159 to 273 matches the Rfam family "MIR1120/MIR1122 microRNA precursor family". The record is from RNAcentral. Lineage: Eukaryota; Viridiplantae; Streptophyta; Magnoliopsida; Poales; Poaceae.
AUGUUCUCCCGCCCCAUCCUCAUCCUCCUAGGCGAGUCCCCCAAGAUCGCCCGCCGCGCGGCCAUCUAUGUGUACGGCCUCAUCCCGGAGAUCUUCACCUACGCCACCAACUUCCCCAUCCAGAAAUUCUUGCAGGCGCAGAGCAUCAUAGCGCCAAGCGCCUACUCCUUCCGUUCCGAAUUACUUGUCGCGGGUAUAGAUGUAUCUAGAUGUAUUUUAGUUCUAGGUACAUCCAUUUCUGCGACGAGUAAUUUGGAACGGAGGGAGUACAUCUCAGCAGCCACGCUCAUCGUCCACCUCGUCCUCAGCUACCUCGUCGUCUACAAGUUCGGGCUGGGCCUUCUGGGCGCCUCGUUCAUGCUCAGCGUCAGCUGGUGGAUCACCGUCAUUGGGCAGUUCGUCUACAUCAUCACGAGCAGCCGGUGCCGCUGCCGCCUCACGUGGACUGGAUUCUCCCUGCAGGCAUUCUCCGGUCUGCCUGAAUUUUUGAAGCUGUCCAUUGCCUCUGCUGUCAUGCUCUGCCUUGGGACUUGGUACUUUUAG